This 466-nucleotide long non-coding RNA is filed under the name Homo sapiens (human). RNAcentral describes it as "HSALNT0293179". Lineage: Eukaryota; Metazoa; Chordata; Mammalia; Primates; Hominidae. The record is from RNAcentral.
AGAUGUAGACUGACAGUUUACUGGUCACCUGCACUAACAGCCUGAGAGAAAAGGACACUGCAUAUCACAGAGAGAUGCAUAGAUGUUACACUCAGAAAGAGAGUGAACAACUAGAAGAUGUGGAAGGCAAGCUUUUUAGUAUUAAGAGGAAAAUUCCAAGGGCCAAUUUUGAAACAAACCAGGCAGAGACCCAGAUGCAGAAUCCUGCAGGCUGAGGGAUGUUAGGAAGAGUUAGCCCACCACUGCUGCGCUGAAACCAGGAUGACGCAAACUGGGCCUCAGGCCAGGCUUAGAAUAUAAACUGACACCUUGAAGAAGUGACCAUCUUGUAAUCAACACUUUAUUCUAAGGAUAACAGAGAUAAAUGAUAUAAGGAUCUCUGUUUCUUAAUGGCAUUGUUGAGCCCUAAACUUUCUACUGCUAGAUAUUUUAUCGCAUGAAAUAAAUAAGCCUUAGUUGCUUAAAA